AGCACUGGAGAAUGUAACUGCAGCCCGGGUCAGUUGCAGGGCAUGUGGUGUACAGUUACUUGCUAGAUUGGGUGAUCUUUGGGUGACACCACGGAACAUAUCACAGCUCCCCGCUCUUCAGUCUUAAUUAGGUGCAGGAGAUCAGAAUCCCACCCCCGUGUGUUGCCACUGAGCAGACCCUGAGUGCCAACGGAGAGGAGGAGGAGGUCAGGCUUGGCCAAGUUGAAAUAAUUAACACGCCAGAGAGGAGACAGCCAGCCCUCUAGAAUGGGAGGCCAUUCCACCUGCGUGCUCAUCGCCUCUCACAAGCUACGUGUGGCCGUUACGUAGACUGAACUGGAUGUGCUGGUUUUGGCAUUCCUUCCUGGAGCGUUGGCGGCGGAGAAUGGCUGUUGUGUUUCCACCCCAGAGGUGGCUGCACUUCAGUGAUGGCGAGAGAGAGAUAAAUGGCCAUAUAAGAGCUCCAGAUAACAUUGACUCAAGAGUGAUCACUGAGAAGAGGGGACGUGGAGAAGAUCCCUGGAAAGAGACUCCAUCUACUUAAAUUAGCAGCUCUGCUAUGCAAUAUGCUCCUGAUGACUUGCUGUGCAUGACCUGAUCCCUCUGAGCGGCUUGGGGAGUAUGUACACUUAUCCCGUCUCUUUUCCUGGCAUGUGUCUCUCUGACCCUGGAGGCUCCUCUGCGCAUGGAGCUGCCAAUAGGCGGUGAGUCAUUUUUGAACAUGCCUGGAUCCAGAAGGCAUCAUGUGGCUGAUGAUUCAUGCAUCUCACCUGUUUGAAUGUUUAAAUAAACUCUUAUUCCAAGGGCAUGUAGCUGUGAGGGAGCCAUCCUGGGUUUCUCUGAAUGUGGAAUUGCAUUUCUAUUUGGUUGCAUGUAUUUAUUUCUAGGGGGUAGUUUCCAUAAUGUAU
This is a long non-coding RNA of Mauremys reevesii (Reeves's turtle), 908 nucleotides long. RefSeq lists it as uncharacterized. The transcript is spliced from 3 exons. NCBI's taxonomy places the organism in Eukaryota, Metazoa, Chordata, Testudines, Geoemydidae. The record is from RefSeq and is a predicted model, not a curated record.